AGUGAACGCUGGCGGUAGGCCUAACACAUGCAAGUCGAACGGCAGCACAGUAAGAGCUUGCUCUUACGGGUGGCGAGUGGCGGACGAGUGAGGAAUACAUCGGAAUCUACUUUUUCGUGGGGGAUAACGUAGGGAAACUUACGCUAAUACCGCAUACGACCUACGGGUGAAAGCAGGGGAUCUUCGGACCUUGCGCGAUUGAAUGAGCCGAUGUCGGAUUAGCUAGUUGGCGGGGUAAAGGCCCACCAAGGCGACGAUCCGUAGCUGGUCUGAGAGGAUGAUCAGCCACACUGGAACUGAGACACGGUCCAGACUCCUACGGGAGGCAGCAGUGGGGAAUAUUGGACAAUGGGCGCAAGCCUGAUCCAGCCAUACCGCGUGGGUGAAGAAGGCCUUCGGGUUGUAAAGCUCUUUUGUUGGGAAAGAAAAGCAGCAGGUUAAUACCCCGCUGUUCUGACGGUACCUAAAGAAUAAGCACCGGCUAACUUCGUG
RNAcentral lists this ribosomal RNA (492 nucleotides) under uncultured bacterium. RNAcentral's name for it is "partial 16S ribosomal RNA". It matches the Rfam family "Bacterial small subunit ribosomal RNA", at positions 29 to 507 of the family's 1533-position model. The record is from RNAcentral.